This 743-nucleotide ribosomal RNA is filed under the name uncultured bacterium. Its description in RNAcentral is "bacterial SSU rRNA". It matches the Rfam family "Bacterial small subunit ribosomal RNA", at positions 8 to 796 of the family's 1533-position model. The record is from RNAcentral.
AGAGUUUGAUCCUGGCUCAGGAUGAACGCUGGCGGUCUCUUAACACAUGCAAGUCGAACGAAUCCCUUCGGGGAUUAGUGGCGGACGGGUGAGUAACGCGUGAGAAUCUACCAAAAGGACUGGGACAACCACUGGAAACGGUGGCUAAUACCGGAUGAGCCGCAACGUAAAAGAGGAAACUCGCCUUUUGAAGAGCUCGCGUCUGAUUAGCUAGUUGGUGAGGUAAAGGCUCACCAAGGCGGCGAUCAGUAGCUGGUCUGAGAGGAUGAUCAGCCACACUGGGACUGAGACACGGCCCAGACUCCUACGGGAGGCAGCAGUGGGGAAUUUUCCGCAAUGGGCGAAAGCCUGACGGAGCAAGACCGCGUGAGGGAGGAAGGCUCUUGGGUUGUAAACCUCUUUUGUCAGGGAAGAACACAAUGACGGUACCUGAAGAAUCAGCAUCGGCUAACUCCGUGCCAGCAGCCGCGGUAAUACGGAGGAUGCAAGCGUUAUCCGGAAUUAUUGGGCGUAAAGCGUCCGCAGGUGGCACUUCAAGUCUGCUGUCAAAGACCGGGGCUUAACCCUGGAAAGGCAGUGGAAACUGAAGCGCUAGAGUGUGGCAGGGGUAGAGGGAAUUCCCGGUGUAGCGGUGAAAUGGUAGAGAUCGGGAAGAACAUCGGUGCGAAAGGCUCUACUGGGCCACAACUGACACUCAGGACGAAAGCUAGGGGAGCGAAUGGGAUUAGAUACCCUAGUAGUCC